GAAGCUUGCAGUAUUGUUUCAUUACCCACCGGCACUUUUGAGCCGUGAACUUUCCCCCACUUCGGAAACUUCUCUGGAAAAUUCAUUUCAUGCUUGUCUACUCCAGUAAAAGCCGUGACUGAACUGUUACAAAACAAGAGACUUGGCCGAGGGGAUGUGAGAAAUCAACCCGAUCACACAAGCCAGCUGGCAUCCUUGACAGCCCUAGGCCUCUGACCUUUCGUUUACCUGUCAUCUCGGACCGCGGCCUUCUCCCAGCAGGCAGGCGGGCACCCUGCGGCUCCUGUGCCAGGCACACGUAUGUGCCAGGAUUUUUCCAGCUCUGUCAGACCCAAGUACCCACUACGCACAGACAAGACUAAAUAAAUUGAAAUGAAGUGUUCGUUGCACCACUACUUGGGGCCUGAAG
Miniopterus natalensis is the source of this 409-nucleotide long non-coding RNA. RefSeq lists it as uncharacterized. The record is from RefSeq and is a predicted model, not a curated record. Lineage: Eukaryota; Metazoa; Chordata; Mammalia; Chiroptera; Miniopteridae.